Molecule: long non-coding RNA, 455 nt
Organism: Mugil cephalus (flathead mullet)
Lineage: Eukaryota; Metazoa; Chordata; Actinopteri; Mugiliformes; Mugilidae
Exons: 4
Source: RefSeq, a predicted model, not a curated record
GUCGCUCUGAGAACAACUCAAAAUGGGAAAAGUUAACGGAUGCCUCAAGUAUGUCUUCAUCUUCUUCAGUUCGCUGUUUGCAAUAUCAAACUAAUGCUGGAAAGGAGUGGACAGAGAAGCAAAAAUGACUUCUGAACACAAGAGUUGAAGAAGAGAUGAGUUUAGAAGAGAGGAGUGAAGAACAGAGCAGUAAAGACAGCAGAGGUGCCAGCAUCAAAUCUGAUGCAACACACCUCUUUGUGGAAACUUCUGGACAACACUUUUGUCUAGAUAAUGUCGAUGGCUGGCUGUGCAGUGUCCGUCACGUCAGUGCUUUCAUCCACAGUAAGAGAGUAUGCAAUAAAGUCUUUGCUUCUUACAAUCAACUGUUUUUCUUAAAUCAGUGGCCAUCUCACAAAACCUGAUGUUUUGUCUCGAAGUGCCUUCUUAGAUUUAACCCCAUAAUUACAGCCACA